This 125-nucleotide microRNA precursor is filed under the name Mus musculus (house mouse). RNAcentral describes it as "predicted gene, 56375 (ENSMUSG00002075115.1)". The record is from RNAcentral. Lineage: Eukaryota; Metazoa; Chordata; Mammalia; Rodentia; Muridae.
GGUUUCUCUGUGUAGCCCUGGCUGUCCUGGAACUCACUCUGUAGACCAGGCUGGCCUCGAACUCAGAAAUUCACCUGCCUCUGCCUCCCAAGUGCUGGGAUUAAAGGCAUGCGCCACCAUGCCCG